UAUCUCUGUAGAGUCUGCAUAUCAAUAAGCGGAGGAAAAGAAACUAACUAGGAUUCCCUCAGUAACGGCGAGUGAAGCGGGAAGAGCUCAAAUUUGAAAUCUUCAAGGUUCUACCUUGACGAAUUGUAGUUUAAAGAAGUGUUUUCUGUUGGUGUUUUGGUAAAAGUUCUUUGGAAUAGGACAUCAUAGAGGGUGAGAAUCCCGUAUUUGACCAUUACUUCCAGCGUUGUGAUACACUUUCAAAGAGUCGGAUUGUUUGGGAAUGCAGUCCAAAAUGGAUGGUAAAUUUCAUCUAAAGCUAAAUAUUGGCGAGAGACCGAUAGCGAACAAGUACCGUGAGGGAAAGAUGAAAAGAACUUUGAAAAGAGAGUUAAACAGUACGUGAAAUUGUCAAAAGGGAAGCGUUUGACACCAGUGUUGUUUUCUCGAAAACCAAUUAAAAAGAGUUGGAUUUUGUAUAGUUAAGACCUUAUCAGCUUACUGUACUUUUUUCUUGCUCUUUUUAAUGCACUUUUCGUUUAACAAGUCAACAUCAAUUUCUUUUGUUGUAAAAGGGUCAUUGGAAGGUGGCUUUCACUUCGGUGAAAGUGUUUAUAGCCUUUGGCUUCUACAAUCGGAGAGAUUGAGGUCUGCAGCGUAGAUCCUUCGGGGUUAGAUACGUAGAUGCUAAGUUAUAGUUUUUUAUAGACAACUUGUUGACUAUGAUUAAUCAUGUAGCUUACUCGUUUACGCUAUUUUACCUACGCUUAGGAUGUUGAUCUCUCACAGUCGAGC
This 774-nucleotide ribosomal RNA is filed under the name uncultured Neocallimastigales. RNAcentral's name for it is "partial large subunit ribosomal RNA". It matches the Rfam family "Eukaryotic large subunit ribosomal RNA", at positions 24 to 645 of the family's 3401-position model. Lineage: Eukaryota; Fungi; Neocallimastigomycota; Neocallimastigomycetes; Neocallimastigales. The record is from RNAcentral.